This 448-nucleotide ribosomal RNA is filed under the name uncultured eukaryote. RNAcentral describes it as "bacterial SSU rRNA". It matches the Rfam family "Eukaryotic small subunit ribosomal RNA", at positions 321 to 772 of the family's 1831-position model. The record is from RNAcentral.
CGAGACGGCGGGGUAGAGGCCCGCCGCGGUAACGACGGGUAACGGGGAAUCAGGGUUCGAUUCCGGAGAGGGAGCCCGAGAAACGGCUACCACUUCCAAGGAAGGCAGCAGGCGCGCAACUUACCCUAAUCUCGAUUCGAGGAGGUAGUGACAAGAAAUACCGAUGCGGGACCCUACGGGUGCCGCGUUCGGAAUGAGUACGAUUCGAACCACCUAACGAGGAACGAUCGGAGGGCAAGUCUGGUGCCAGCAGCCGCGGUAAUUCCAGCUCCAAUAGCGUACGUUAAAGUUGCUGCAGUUAAAAAGCUCGUAGUUGAACGUUCGGGUUCCGCGGGACGGGGCCGCCCCGCGAGGGACGGCGCCGCCCCGGGGCUCGUGAUAUCUCAUCUCGCCGCCCGUCGCGAGGCGGACGGAGGGAUGGAUGAGGUUACCUGGAAAAAAUCGGGGC